CUAUUUGGGAGACAACGAGAGGGGGAGAGGGGAGGUGAAAAAUGCCGGUAGAUCCGCUCCGGAUCAGAUGGAGGGGAGCGGAAACGGAGAAAUUGGCAGCGUCCGGAGGUAGAAAAGCCCCCCCCUUUUUUUAAUUGGACAAGUGGUGUUUCUAAUUAUCCGAUCUACCCAACUAAUAAUUUCUCCAUUUGAGUCCUUGCGCACGUGGGAGUUGAACGGGCUCCCUCUCUUAGCUCCCCACCAACGCUGGCCGCUCGUUAGACCAGUCGGCAGUCGCCCACCCCACCAACUGGCUCCGGUCUCCACCACUGCCUCACCUCCUAUUAUCUCCCUCCUUUUUAUUAGGUAAAAAUCUUAUUAAGCCAUCAACAAACCCCUGGUAACUGAAAACACGCUCGACUCAAGAAGACCUGUGCCUUCGUUUGAGAAAGAGCGAAUCGAAUCAAUUCGGAUUGGAAUGGAGAGCUCGACCCAAGAAUCCCCUGCGACGGCGACGAAGAACACGUACACCUUCGAUUCCCCCCACCCGGUAUACGCCAUGGCCUUCUCCUCCCUCCCGGCGCCUUCUCCCCCGCGCCUCGCCCUCGGCUCCUUCAUCGAGGGCUACGCCAACCGCGUCGACGUCGUCACCCUCGACGAGGAGGCCCGCUCCUUGCGCCCCGAACCCUCCUCCUCCUUCGACCACCCCUACCCACCCACCAAGCUCAUGUUCCACCCCUGGUCCCUUCCCAACUCCCCCUUCUCCCUCCUCGCCUCCUCCUCCGAAUUCCUCCGCCUCUGGCGGCUCGACUCGUCGUCGGUCGAGCUCCGCAGCAUCCUCGGCAACAGCAAGUCGAGCGAGUUCUGCGCCCCGAUCACCUCCUUCGACUGGAACGACGCGGAGCCCCGCCGCAUCGGCACCUCCUCCAUCGACACCACCUGCACCGUCUGGGACAUCGAGCGCGGCGCCAUCGAGACCCAGCUCAUCGCCCACGACAAGGAGGUCUACGACAUCGCCUGGGGCGACGCCGGCGUCUUCGCCUCCGUUUCCGCCGACGGCUCCGUCCGCAUCUUCGACCUCCGCGACAAGGAGCACUCCACCAUCGUCUACGAGAGCCCCCGCCCGGACACCCCGCUCCUCCGCCUCGCCUGGAACAAGACCGAUCUCCGCUACAUGGCCACCAUCCUUAUGGACAGCAACCGCGUCGUCAUCAUCGACAUCCGAACCCCGACUGUGCCCGUCGCCGAGCUGCAGCGCCACCACGCCAGCGUCAAUGCAGUCGCCUGGGCGCCGCAGGCUGCCCGGCAUAUCUGCUCCGCCGGGGAUGACGGGCAGGCGCUCCUAUGGGAGGUGCCGGCCGCCGGGGCCACGGUGUCGCCGGACGGGAUUGAUCCCGCGCUGUGUUACACCGCGGGGGCGGAAAUCAACCAGCUGCAGUGGUCGGCGACGCACCCGGACUGGAUCGGGAUAGCGCUCGCCAACAAGGUGCAGCUGCUGAGGGUCUGAGGACUUUUUAUUACCGAGUCAUCCCAGAUUUGCAAGAGAGUCUCAAAUUGUGAAAAAAAGGAAAGAGGUUUGAUGUCUUAAUCAACGAGGGUCUCCUCAGCACUAUGUUCCUUGACAAAGCAGGGUACAUUUAAGAAAUUGAAGAUGGAAAUGCUUGUUGCAGGACCAGCUUACUGUCCCUGUUUCAUCCCAGCAUGUUUGCCGUAAGACUGGCUGAUGGCAUCUCCUGCUGGAGAGAAAUACAAUGUGGUUCUAGUUGUCUUUCAGAGUUAAAGAAAAAGGGGAAAACAAAUUAUGUGGCAUAUCUGAGUUCUUUUGGACGUAAGGAGACGAAUACAUUAUAUAUCAGGUGUUUGUUAUUGCCUAGAUGGUUUGCGCAUUUUUGCUUGUUUAUGGGGGACAAGUUGGAAUCCUGUUGGGACAAUCUGUAGAUUUUCCAAUCCAAUGGCAUGAAGUCUUUGUGGUGGUUGCAAGGCAGUUGGAAGAAGGCUACAAUUGGGAAAGUGGCUUGCUCAUGUUGAUAAUAAAUUCUUCUAUGUGAUUUUAGAUCAGAAUUGGCAAAACCACUCAUUGUACACUGCAUGCCAAACACCUCGACUGAAAGCUUGUUCUUAGAAUAGUAGUUGUAACCUUAUUUUAAAGGUAAGCCGAACAUAAGGGUGUAAGUUAUUUUCUAAAACAAAACAUGUCUAUUUCACUGUAUGUUCCUUGAUCAUGAGAAGGGGCACUUGUUUAUUUCACUCAUGGAACAUUACUCAGGAAAUACAAUGCGAUCAACAUUCAAAUGUUA
Molecule: RNA transcript, 2276 nt
Organism: Phoenix dactylifera (date palm)
Lineage: Eukaryota; Viridiplantae; Streptophyta; Magnoliopsida; Arecales; Arecaceae
Gene name: protein TRANSPARENT TESTA GLABRA 1 pseudogene
Source: RefSeq, a predicted model, not a curated record